AGCGUAGGCGGUCAAGCAAGUCAGGGGUGAAAGGCAUCGGCUCAACCGAUGUAAGCCUUUGAAACUGUUUGACUUGAGUGCAGGAGAGGGAAAGUGGAAUUCCUAGUGUAGCGGUGAAAUGCGUAGAUAUUAGGAGGAACACCAGUGGCGAAGGCGACUUUCUGGACUGUAACUGACGCUGAGGCUCGAAAGCGUGGGAGCGAACA
RNAcentral lists this ribosomal RNA (206 nucleotides) under uncultured bacterium. RNAcentral describes it as "partial 16S ribosomal RNA". It matches the Rfam family "Bacterial small subunit ribosomal RNA", at positions 568 to 774 of the family's 1533-position model. The record is from RNAcentral.